GGUAUGUGAAGUUGAAUCUCUGGCGGGAGUCGGGAGAAGUGGCUGGGCACCAAGCCCCCGGAUUUCUGGGGCCUUUACAGGCUCCACAGGCGGCCACCUGCCACCCCAGACGCCAGAUCCAGCCCGCCUGGCUGAGCCUGGAUCCGCAGUAGCAGCCACGUCCGUUUCAUCUUUGCCUCUGGCCGCUCUUCCGGCGCGCUCAACUUGGAUGAGUUGGGAUCUUGAGUGCCCGCACAGCUGGAGCCCUGCGACUGCCGCGAGGGUCCUGAAGGCACCAGGCGGCUCUCAGGCUGAGCUCCCUCCUCAAAGGCUCGGGGUCUUUCCUCUUUUUUUCCCUUCCUAGUAACUAACUGCCUAGCAAGAUUUCUGCAGCUCCCGUCCCCUCUCAGAGCUCCCCUCGAAACAGCAGAGCUGCAUUAGCAAUCGGACCCUGAGCAGCCAGAAACUUGAACUUCGGAGUAAGAAUAAGAAAAUGUGCGGGAUGAAGUGUCCGAGGCUGGCACACAGCACGUUUGCUGAGGCGAGGAACUCUGCACAGCGACCGGUCCACGGUUCUGGCCACACCUGCACGAUAAUUUUCAGAUCAGAAAAUAUGUUCCAAACACUAAUCAAGAAGACUGCGUGAAGUAUAUAUAUAAAAAAGUUGUGAGUAUUAAUAUGUGGCAGUAGAAGUCACUUGCAAUCAACUGGUCAAACUGCUAGUGAUGCAGUAGACUUUGAUUAGUAUGAGUGGGACUAUGUUUCUCCUUGAUACUCCUCAAAUUACUGCAUCUAAACAAGAAGGAAAUGAGUGAGUCAUUUUCUUGAUAUGAUCAUUACAACUGAAUCAUUAUGACAGAUCAUUAUGACGGUUUUUAACAAGUAAGUUGUCAUUUUCCAUCAGUGCAGUAUUGUUCCUCUAAGAAGUUUAAUGUCUUGGAGUGGAAUGACAUACCUCUUAUCUAUAGUCACCAUUGAUGAGCAAGUAGGAGGGGGUGUGCACCUAAACACAUAGUCAGCACAUAGCUCAUGAUUUUAACCAUAAUAGAUUUCUCAGAGUUAGAGGAGAAAGUAAACUCAUAUAAUACUACCAUUUUCCCCCAAAGAACCUUGCCCUUCUCUUCUUCUCACUGCAUUUAUUUUUAUAUGUUAAAAGUAAGUAUACCUUAAAAGUACCCAUAUCAGCUGUAAGGAGGGGUAAAACCUUCCCGUCUACUGUAGCAGACAGAACUGGACUUGACAGACACAGCCACAAAGUUAGGAGAAGGAAGACAUGACCUCACUCAUAUGUGAGAUUAGAAAAAAAAAAGUGAAUGAACAGACAAAUUCAAAUGAAGACAAGCCCUUAGAUACUGAUUACAAUACUGGAGCAAGUGAAGGGGUGAGUCAGGAUUGUAUAAGUGUAAAGGUUUCAAUAAAAUGAAAAAAAAAAGUAAUACUGACAUUAUGGUCAAGAUUAACAUAUAUUUUGAAGAAGUGUUGAA
This is a long non-coding RNA of Erinaceus europaeus (western European hedgehog), 1463 nucleotides long. RefSeq lists it as uncharacterized. The record is from RefSeq and is a predicted model, not a curated record. Lineage: Eukaryota; Metazoa; Chordata; Mammalia; Eulipotyphla; Erinaceidae. The transcript has 3 exons.